UCUAAGUUUGAUGGCGACCGGCGCACGGGUGAGUAACACGUAUCCAACCUGCCGAUGACUCGGGGAUAGCCUUUCGAAAGAAAGAUUAAUACCCGAUGGCAUAGUUCUUCCGCAUGGUAGAACUAUUAAAGAAUUUCGGUCAUCGAUGGGGAUGCGUUCCAUUAGGUUGUUGGCGGGGUAACGGCCCACCAAGCCUUCGAUGGAUAGGGGUUCUGAGAGGAAGGUCCCCCACAUUGGACUGAGACACGGUCCAAACUCCUACGGGAGGCAGCAUG
RNAcentral lists this ribosomal RNA (275 nucleotides) under uncultured bacterium. RNAcentral describes it as "partial 16S ribosomal RNA". It matches the Rfam family "Bacterial small subunit ribosomal RNA", at positions 78 to 353 of the family's 1533-position model. The record is from RNAcentral.